UGGGGAAUUUUGGACAAUGGGGGCAACCCUGAUCCAGCAAUGCCGCGUGUGUGAAGAAGGCCUUCGGGUUGUAAAGCACUUUUGUCCGGAAAGAAAACGCCGUGGUUAAUACCCGUGGCGGAUGACGGUACCGGAAGAAUAAGCACCGGCUAACUACGUGCCAGCAGCCGCGGUAAUACGUAGGGUGCAAGCGUUAAUCGGAAUUACUGGGCGUAAAGCGUGCGCAGGCGGUCCGCUAAGACAGAUGUGAAAUCCCCGGGCUUAACCUGGGAACUGCAUUUGUGACUGGCGGGCUAGAGUAUGGCAGAGGGGGGUAGAAUUCCACGUGUAGCAGUGAAAUGCGUAGAGAUGUGGAGGAAUACCGAUGGCGAAGGCAGCCCCCUGGGCCAAUACUGACGCUCAUGCACGAAAGCGUGGGGAGCAAACAGGAUUAGAUACCCUGGUAGUCCACGCCCUAAACGAUGUCAACUAGUUGUCGGGUCUUCAUUGACUUGGUAACGUAGCUAACGCGUGAAGUUGACCGCCUGGGGAGUACGGUCGCAAGAUUAAAACUUAAAUGAAUUGACGGGGUCAUAGCUGUUUCCUG
This 586-nucleotide ribosomal RNA is filed under the name uncultured bacterium. RNAcentral's name for it is "partial 16S ribosomal RNA". It matches the Rfam family "Bacterial small subunit ribosomal RNA", at positions 355 to 1376 of the family's 1533-position model. The record is from RNAcentral.